RNAcentral lists this long non-coding RNA (8070 nucleotides) under Lactuca sativa (garden lettuce). Its description in RNAcentral is "long non-coding RNA (LSAT_LNC002362)". Lineage: Eukaryota; Viridiplantae; Streptophyta; Magnoliopsida; Asterales; Asteraceae. The record is from RNAcentral.
CGUUUUCGACGUUCUUUAUAUCCACGCGAAGGUCAGACCAUACUCUACAACUUUCAUUUAGACUCCGUCGGCUAAUUUUGACUUUUAUUUUUAUUAUUUAUUUUUAGAAGGCCGGGACAGAAAAACUUCGUUAUAAAUUCAUAACUUCUUCGUCUGACGUCCGUUCUCGCCUAACUUUUCAUCGUUUCGCUACUAACAACGAGAUCUUCGAUUCUCAUUUAGAUUGUUUCGGCUAAAAACCGCUCGAUCUCAAAUCGAGUAUUCGGGCUGCAUACUGCUAAGUCGAAACUUAGAAAAAUCAUAACUUCCUCAUACGAAGUCAGAUUUGGGCGUUCCUUUUAUGCACGCUCUCGGUUUAACGAAAUCUACGACUUUCGUUUAGAUCGCUAAGGCUAAAUAUCGCUCUAUCUUAAAUUCAUAUUUUACGUCACUCGACGUCGUGCCGGUUCUGUCGCGAAACUUCGACAGGUCAUAACUUCUUCGUUAUAACUCGGAUUUUGGCAUUCCUUAUAUCUCCGGAAUCCUUGUUUCAACCACUACAACUUUAUGCAAAGAUAUCGGGCUUAUCUCACACUUUAAUUUUGACGCUUAUUUUAUUCUUAAUUCAUUAAAUUAUAAUAAUUAAGAAAAUAAACACAUAAAUCACAUAAUUCACAUAAUUCACAAAUAAUACAUUUUUAUUAUUUCAAAUUGGGGUUACAAAGGUUAACCUAGACUAUUACAUUGCUAAAAAUGGCAAGCCCAGAAACACGGGCGUUACAAUUCUCUCCACCUUAGAAUGAUUCCGUCCCCGGAAUCACACACCAGCAAACAAAUGCGGAUAGCGACUCAUCAUGUCACUCUCCGUCUCCCAGGUGAGAUUCGGCCCAUUCGUGUGUUUCCAUCGGACAAGCACUAACUCAACCAUCUUACGUCGCAAUUUCUUAGUCUUUCGGUCAACGAUUGCCUCCGGUUCCUCAAUCAACCUUUUGUUCUCAUCGAUCCUCAACUCCGAAAGUGGAAUUAUGUCGGGAACUUCUCCCAUGAACUUCCUCAAGUAACACACAUGAAAAGUGUUAUGAAUUCCAUUCAGUUCUUCUGGUAGUUCGAGCUUGUAAGCUUGGUUCCCAAUCCUCUGAAGAACUUUAAACGGUCCAAUAAACCUUGGACUUAACUUUCCCCUUUUACCAAAUCUUAUAAGUCCCUUCCACGGCGAGACUUUAAGCAAAACCGAAUCUCCAACUUCAAAAGUCAUCGGUCUUCGCUUUUUGUCAGCAUAGCUCUUUUGACGGUCCUGAGCUGCUAACAUUCUUUCCCUAAUUAUUUUCAACUUUUCAGCCGUUUGAUGGACUAUCUCCGGUCCCAUAAACUGCUUUUCCCCAGCCUCAAGCCAACAAGACGGCGUACGACACUUCUGUCCAUACAAUGCUUGAUAAGGUGCCAUCUUUAUGCUCGAGUGAAAACUAUUAUUAUAGGAAAAUUCUACCAAAGGUAAAUGUUCAUCCCAAUUACCUAGGAAUUCCAAGGUACACGCUCUCAGCAUAUCUUCAAGUGUUUGUAUCGUUCUUUCACUCUGACCAUCAGUCUGCGGAUGGUAAGCUGUACUUAAACACAACUUGGUACCCAAUUCCUCUUGUAGACUUUUCCAAAAUCGUGAGGUGAAACGACUGUCACGAUCCGACACAAUCGUUAACGGAACACCGUGAAGCCUCACAAUUUCCUUCACGUAAGAAUUCGCAAGCUUUUCCAUAGACCAUUUCUCGUUGGCUGCUAUGAAAUGCGCACUCUUAGUGAAUCGAUCAACGACCACCCAAAUCAUGUCGUGACCACUUUUUGUUCUGGGUAGUUUAGUGACAAAAUCCAUAGCAAUGUCUUCCCACUUACCCAUAGGCACAGGUAAUGGUUCUAAACUCCCGUAUGGUUUCUGAUGUUGUGCCUUGACUCUUGCACAGGUCACACACUCGGCCACAUACUUCGCAAUGUCGAGCUUCAUCGUCGGCCACCAAUAAUAGGGUUUCAGGUCCCUAUACAUUUUUGUGCUACCGGGAUGAAUCGAGUACAUGGUUUUGUGAGCUUCUUCCAUCAGAAGAUCUCUGACUCCUCCUGUCUUAGGUAUCCAAAUCCGAUCUUGGAACACCUUCAGUCCGUGACUGUUUACACCGAACACCAACGUUUUGCCCAAACGUUCCUCCUUUCGGUCAUUUUUCUCAGAAGCUUCGCUUUGAGCUUUCUUUAUACUUUCCAAAAUAGUCGAGACAACUUCAAUUCUCAACGCUCUUGGCCUUUUCUUUUCAAGAUUGACCUUCCGACUGAGAGCAUCAGCAACAAUAUUGGCCUUACCGGGGUGGUAAAGUAUCUCACAGUCGUAGUCCUUAAGUAAUUCCAGCCAGCGUCGUUGCCUCAUAUUCAAUUCUUUCUGACUAAAGAGAUAUUGGAGACUCUUAUGAUCAGUGAAAAGUUUGCACUUCGUGCCAUAGAGGUAAUGCCUCCAUAUUUUCAGUGCGAAAACUACCGCUGCCAACUCCAAAUCAUGAGUCGGGUAGUUCUUUUCGUGCUCUUUCAGCUGUCGAGACGCAUAUGCGAUCACCUUAUCCCUUUGGGUCAAAACGCAACCCAAUCCAACCCCAGACGCAUCGCUAUAAACAGCGAAGUCUUCAACCCCAUCGGGUAGAGAAAGUAUCGGUGCCUCGCAUAGUUUCUUCUUUAGCUUCUCGAAUGCUUCUUUAUGCUUAUCACUCCAAGCAUAAGUAGCUCCUUUGUGGGUCAAAGCUGUUAAUGGACUAGCGAUCGAAGAAAAGCCUUGGAUAAACCUUCGGUAAUAUCCGGCUAAUCCUAAAAAGCUUCGGAUCUCCGUGGGACUUUUCGGUUGUUCCCACUUCAUCACAGCUUCGAUCUUCGCUGGAUCAACCAUUAUCCCUUCUUGGUUGACCACGUGACCCAAGAAUUGGACUUCACGAAUCCAGAAAUCACAUUUGGAGAACUUCGCAUACAACUUCUCCUUCUUCAAGACUUCCAACACUUCUCGCAAGUGUCUGCCAUGCUCCUCUUGGCUUUUUGAAUAAAUCAGAAUGUCAUCAAUGAACACUAUCACAGAUUUAUCAAGGAACGGAUUACAAACUCUGUUCAUUAAAUCCAUGAAUGCUGCUGGAGCAUUGGUUAGUCCAAACGACAUAACCAAAAACUCGUAGUGUCCAUAUCGCGUUCUGAAUGCAGUUUUCUCUAUAUCCUGCUCCGUUACUUUCAGCUGAUGAUAUCCUGACCUCAUGUCGAUCUUUGAGAAAUAACUUGAACCUUGUAGUUGAUCGAAUAGGUCAUCAAUCCUCGGCAACGGAUAUCGAUUCUUUAUUGUUGCCUUAUUCAGCUCUCGGUAAUCAAUGCACAUCCUCAUGCUUCCAUCUUUCUUCUUUACGAAUAACACCGGAGCUCCCCAGGGUGAUGAACUAGGUCUAAUGAAACCUUUGUCCAAUAACUCCUGAAGUUGCAUCAUUAGCUCCUUCAUCUCCGUCGGUGCUAAUCGAUAAGGUGCUUUUGCAAUUGGCGUUGUUCCGGGCAACAAGUCGAUACGAAAUUCUACUUGUCGAUCGGGCGGUAAUCCAGGAAGAUCUUCGGGAAAUACUUCCGGAUAAUCACACACAACAGGAAUAUUUUGCAUCACCUUCUUUUCCUUCUUAGCAUCGAUCACGAAUGCUAAGUAUGAUGUACACCCCUUGGUCAAACAUUUUCUGGCUUUCAUUAGAGAAAUGAUUCCAGAGUUUACUCUGCGUUUAUCUCCGUACACCAUAAACGAUUCCUUCCCAGGCGGGUUCACUUUCACUAUUUUCUUCUUGCAUAAAAUUUCGGCAUCAUUGGCGCUAAGCCAAUCCAUUCCCAAAACGAUGUCGAAACCGUUAAGUUCGAUAGGCAAUAAUUCCUCGUGGAACUUAUUUCCAUUCAGAUCAAUUAAGAUGUUUUUCAUACGAUGGCUAACAGGUACAAACUUGCCACUAGCAACUUCGACUAAUAAAGCAUUAUCUAGUCUAUCAACAGGCAAAGCUAGUUUUCUACCAAAUUCAUGCGAUAUAAAGGAGUAGUUGGCUCCAGAAUCAAAUAAAAUUUGGGCAGGCAAUUUGUUAACGAGAAAGGUACCUGAAGCGACAUCAGCUUCAUCUUUAGCAGCUUCCAGUGUCAUCUGGAAUGCUCUCGCCUUUGGCUUUGGCGGAAUGUUGGGUCUUGCUGCUUCCUUCUUUUUCGGACAAUCCCUUGAGAUGUGCCCCUCCUCACCACAACCAUAACAAACAUUCUUGGUGAAGGUGCAGUCAUUGGCAUAAUGCCCUAGCUUUCCACAUUUGAAGCAUGUGGUUUCCCCGCCACACUUCCCAUAAUGCUUCUUCUUGCACUUGUCACACCAUUUCGCUUCUACCUUUCCUCCACUUCCCCUCGAACUAGACUUCGAGAAUUUACUUUUCUUGCUGGACCCUGAAAAUCCAUCGAUUUUCCUUUUCUCGCCAACCUCUGACCUUUCCAGACCUUUUUCCCUGAUCUGGGUCUCAACAUUUCUAGCAGCCCAGAUGGCGGCUUUCAAUGUGGUUGCUUGCUUAACCAUUGGACCAUAGUCCGCUGGUAGUCCAAGGGCAAACUUGUUGACCUUAGAGAGUUCUGUAGGCACCAAAUAUGGGAUAAACUUCAUCUUUUCUGUGAAACUUGCAGCGUAUUCAGUAACGCUCAAUUUCCCUUUCUUCAAAUUCUGAAACUCAUUACUGAUUUCCAGAAGGUCCUGCUCGGAGCAGUAUUGCAUUUUUAGUUGUUCCACAAAGUCUUCCCAAGACAUUUUGCUUGCUUCUCCCUUGGGCAUAGAGUCAGCUAACAGCUUCCACCAACUCAACACGCCAGAUUUUAGCAGAGGGAUCGCAAGAGCGGUCUUCUGCCUGUUGCUGCAUUCGCAACUUUCAAACAUAGUCUCCAUUUCGGAGACCCAGUCCAUAACUUGCACCGGCGUCGGGCUUCCGGAUAGACAUGGUGGUUUGGAUGCCAUGAAAUCCUUAUACUUGCACCCACGACCAUCAUUUCCUCCAUACUGGUUAUUGCGUCUAACCACUGGUUGUUCGUCUUGACCAAUGAUCCCACUAAAGUUUUCUCCUUCAGACUGCCCUCCAUUCUCCUCGGGCUCUUCCGCUUGAAUUGACGGUUCUUCACGAUUCUGCCUAAGCAGGCGUCUUGUUUCUUCCAUCUGACGAUCCAACAUCAUUUGAAUCAUCAUUUGUACACCAGCCAUUGUUAUCGGCUCAGGUGCAUCAGCUACAACAGGUACUUGUUGAAUUACAGGCGGUUGAUUCCUGUUUUCAUCAGCAUUUCCAACUCCGCUUCUUGUUCUCACCAUUUUUGAUCUACACACCGAAUAAUUUCACCUUAUUACUCCAAACGAUUACAUGCUAGUUCUAAUAUCGUAUACAUACGCUUAGAAUCCUAAACACAUAAACCUUCAGAUCCGGUUGGCAACAAACCGUAGAUCCGAACAAAUAAUAUCAUAUAUGGCAACAUAUAACAUUUAGCACAUAAAAGCAUUUUAGGCAACUUUCCUAAAAUAAACUAGUGCUCGUGUCUAAAAUUUAUCAGACACACAUCUCACAAUCUCCACUUAGCAUACUAAGUUUAAGUCUAGAAAUCCUACAAAUUCCUAGUUCGCUUAAACUAAUGCUCUGAUACCAACUGUGACAUCCCCAAAAUCUCGGCCAGAAAAGACCGAUUUCAUUUAUGCUUUUUAAACAUUUUCAGAGUAAAUCCGUUUGAUUUUAAAAGAGAUGCGGAAUUUGUUCCCAAAAACAAAACAUGAUAAAAUAGAUAUUUAUCAAAACAUUUCAUAUAGAAAUAUGAUUUCAUUUCAUAAUCAAAAGUCGGGAUGUCAUGUUCCGAUAUAGAUCAUAAAGCAUAAACGAUGACAUUACAAGUCGUUCAACAAAUAUAUACAUAUGCAGACUUGUAAACAAAAACAACUUGAUGAUUCGCCCAUCUUAAGCUCUUGCGCCACUUCCUGUAAUACAAAUCAACUGAGUGGGUCAGGCUUGGGAGCCUGGUGAGCAUAUAGGGUUUUCAAACCCACAAUAAUUAUAUUUAAUUACAACAAUCAACAAUAAACCCGAUUACCCAUUCCCGUUAUCCUCACCUUACGUUCCUAAAAAUAACGUCUAUUAUAAGGAACUUAUUUCAGGAUUUUCAUCGGGACGGACAUUACUGCAGAGGGGCUUCCUCAACAAUAAGUGUCCUAAAGGCAACCAUGUGGGGGAUAGAGUACACCGGUGAACACGUCGUUCACAACACCUACAGGUAAUGAGCCUGCUAGUGUUCCACAGGACAGUCUAGAAUAGUCCGUGGUCGUCAUCCAUACUCUGCUGAAUGACUAGAAUAACACCAAUAACACCGAGGCCUCUCAUCUGUUUAUUACACACCAAUUAUCUACCCAUGUUCUACCCAACAUAUUAGUAGAUAAAAAUAUACAUUUUUAUACAUUGUUUAAAAACCUGUAUAGCAUGCUUUAAUCAAUACAUAUUCCACAUAACAGAUGAGGCAUACACACAUAACACGUAUUUCAUAGAGAAUAUACAUUCACACAUAUAACCACAAAAUAUAUACACGUAGCACGUAUUUUAUAUUAAAUACUUCAUAAUAUUGCGUUGGAGAGAAAAUAACUACACACUCACUUGAUCAGAAGAUGAUCCGACAGUACUACGGCUUAUAGAAGUAGCGUCUCUCCGUAGAUCUGGAAGAUCUUCACAAAAACCGGCUCCUCGCGGGCAGGGCUUCGGCUCGGGAAUAACGCUCUUCGGGAUUCUCGGGGCUUCGGAUCUCGCUUCGGGGCUCGGGAAUAAUACCGGGGCUUCGGGGUAUAAUCGGCACGCAAAUCGAGGCAAAAGAGCUAGAGAGAAUGAGGAAUUUGCAAAAGAAAAGAAGCUGCUUCGGACCUCCUUUUAUAGCCUGAUCCUCGGGGUUACGCGGGGCGUAACUUCGGGGGUACGCGGGGCGUAGUGCUUCGCAGAUCGUCAGCGCUUACGUCACCGGUCCAUCUUCGUCAUUGCAUACGACUCACUACUCCGUAGAACUCGAGUGCCCCUCGCUGUACGCGGGGCGUACAGCAGUACGCGCUGCGUACUUCGGAUAGACCGCCUCAUCCUUCUUCGGAUAAUAUCGGAGUUAAAUAAAAAUAAAUAUUAAAUAUUUAUUAAACUUCAAAAAUUCAUAUCUCCUUCAUACGAACUCCGUUUUCGACGUUCUUUAUAUCCACGCGAAGGUGAGACUACGCUCUACAACUUUCGUUUAGACUCCGUCGGCUAAUUUUGACUUUUAUUUUUAUUAAUUAUUUUUAGAAGGCUCGGACAGGAAAACUUCGUUAUAAAAUCAUAACUUCUUCGUCCGACGUCCGUUCUCGCCUAUCUUUUCAUCGUUUCGCUACUAACAACGAGAUCUUCGAUUCUCAUUUAGAUUGUUUCGGUUAAAAACCGCUCGAUUUCAAAUCAAGUAUUCGGGCUGCAUACUGCCAAGUCGAAACUUAGAAAAAUGAUAACUUCCUCAUACGAAGUCAGAUUUGGGCGUUCUUUUUAUGCACGCUCUCGGUUUAACGAAAUCUACGACUUUCGUUUAGACUGCUAAGGCUAAAUAUCGCUCUAUCUUAAAUUCAUAUUUUACGUCACUCGGCGUCGUGCCGGUUCCGUCGCGAAACUUCGACAGGUCAUAACUUCUUCGUUAUAACUCGGAUUUUGGCAUUCCUUAUAUCUCCGGAAUCCUUGUUUCAACCACUACAACUUUAUGCAAAGAUAUCGGGUUUAUCUUACACUUUAAUUUUUGACGCUUAUUUUAUUCUUAAUUUAAUUAUAUCACAUAAUUAAGCAAAUAAACACAUAACUCACAUAAUACACAAAUUCACAAAUAAUACAUUUUAUUAUUUCAAAUUGGGGUUACAAUGGUUAACCUAGACUAUUACAUUGCUAAAAAUGGCAAGCCCAGAAACACGGGCGUUACACUCACCCCACACUGCCACUAUUGGAUUCUGGCACUGCUAAUAGGAGUCAACGGUGCUUACAUCACCAACAAGCAUAUACCAUUUUCCAUGAUACUUGGGAC